RNAcentral lists this long non-coding RNA (822 nucleotides) under Equus asinus (donkey). RNAcentral describes it as "lncRNA (ENSEASG00005030176.1)". The record is from RNAcentral. Lineage: Eukaryota; Metazoa; Chordata; Mammalia; Perissodactyla; Equidae.
UUUAAAUGCAUCUAAUCCAGCAUUUCCACAACCUCUUUGAUGGCUCCUACGAUCUGAUGAUCUCUAAGAUCGGUUCCAACCGUGACUUCAUGGGCUGCUCUCAACCUAACCAUCUCAGAGGAAGAAGCCGCGGCUAGGAAGGGGCCAGGCGGGGCAUAUGUGCAGAUGCUACUCGCACGCCUUCCAUGUGCCACUGGCCCCAGGAGGAGACCACAGAGGUGGUCUAGGCUUAGCCUCAGAACAAAACGAGACAAGAUACAAGCAUGUGGCAGAUGAAGAGACGAGGCUGAGAAAGAGCCCAGGACAAGGUGGUGACAAAAGCAGGAUGCAGGACCCAAAUUCCCCUUCGAGAGCUCUUCCUCCUCCAGCCGGGAAAUUCCGUUCGGCUCAUUGUCUUUGGCCUCAAACUCCCGGGGGAAGGGACGGAACCUGGGAGGCUGAGGAAAACCAGAUGCCUAAUCGAUGCUCCUGCAUUUGACAAGGGCGCUGGGGGUGGACGGGCCUGGAGCUGCGCGGCAAACAUUUCAGACUCUUUUGCAUCCUGAAAAUGGCUCUGGGUGUGGAGACAGCCCGGGGAGGAGGCCGUCUGGGACCAUAUGACGCUUGCCAGUGGCAUGAAGGCUGUUAGAGCCAUGGUAGCAACAUUACUUACCCUCCUCCCUUCUCUUGAACAGUGACGAGGCUCCCCCCACUUCACGGGAAGCACACGAAAUCUGGCCCCCAGAGAGGUGGGAUUGAAAACCUGACAGUUUGGACAUACAGCCCGUGGGCAAUGUUUCCCUUCUCCCGGGCUUGUGUCUGUGCCAAGAAUUCCUAACAAAG